RNAcentral lists this long non-coding RNA (279 nucleotides) under Lathyrus oleraceus (garden pea). RNAcentral's name for it is "Pisum sativum (pea) long non-coding RNA (PSAT_LNC002391)". The record is from RNAcentral. Lineage: Eukaryota; Viridiplantae; Streptophyta; Magnoliopsida; Fabales; Fabaceae.
AAAGGAAGAAAAAAGAGAAACAAGGGGUGCUAGGGGUUAAACCCCUGACCUUGGGGUCAUGUGUCAAGCCCCUUACCAACUGAGCACAGCACUCUUGAUGUCAAUGAGCAUGUUUCAUAACAAUAAAUAAUAAGUUCAAAUCAAAAAACACAAAUGGGCCAAAGCUAGCCCUUGGAUCUGAAUCAUAAAAUAAAGUAAGCAAAAUGGAUGGUCAGAUCAUGAAGCACACACGCGCAUGCAUUGACCAGCUAACACUCAAACACUCAGGAGCCACAUCAC